UGGAUAUUAGGAAGGACAUCCACAGAGCUGGUCAGUCAAGAAUGAAACCUAUGCACCAAACUGAGAAAAGCUGUUGAUAGAGGAAUUUUAAAGAAGGAAUAGGGAGAGGACUACUUCUCUGUUUUUAGCUGGAAGUUCUAUCAUGUACAAAUGCUUUUGAUCACUACUUACAGCAUGUCCAGCAAUGAUGGCUUGAAAAUGGGAGAUUAUUGUAUGACAAGAAGUCCUAUGCAGGAGGAUUUUCUGGUUAUAACAACUGCUCUAUCAUGCAUCAAGGACAUAGGUUAUAUAUGUCUUUUCUGUCCUUCAUUCUCAGUGAUUUCACUACCCUAGAACCAAAAUGAACCAUGUUACACAAAUGAAGUUGGGAAAUUUCUUCGCUCCGUAUACGCACAUAUGUAGACAGCUCCAUAUCCCACAACCUCGUGAUAAUGAAAUCCCUCGCCUCUAGGAAACAUCACAGAAUAUCAGCUUGGGAACACUGUGUGUUUUGCAUGUCAAUCUUAACUAAAAUGAUUCUCUGUGAAAGAAGCUGUAAAGACUCUCUACAAAAAAUCAGAGUGACUGUCAACCAUCUGUGCAAAUACACACCCACCAGAGAUAAUAAAGGUGCUUAGAGAAACAUAAAUGUAAAGUGGGCUCCCACAUCUAUAGAGGCAUUCAGAGCCUGAGAAAAGAGCUCCAACAAAUUUCACCUCUAGCAGCCUGAGUGGACUAUAACAGCUAUUCCUAAGGAAUAAUGCUACCGAUUAAUAAAGAUAGAAAAG
This 767-nucleotide long non-coding RNA is filed under the name Homo sapiens (human). RNAcentral's name for it is "HSALNT0377201". Lineage: Eukaryota; Metazoa; Chordata; Mammalia; Primates; Hominidae. The record is from RNAcentral.